Molecule: long non-coding RNA, 777 nt
Organism: Melospiza melodia melodia
Lineage: Eukaryota; Metazoa; Chordata; Aves; Passeriformes; Passerellidae
Exons: 2
Source: RefSeq, a predicted model, not a curated record
ACUAAUUUACUGGGACACUGGGGAAGAAUUAAGGGCAGGUAAACCUGGACUCUGUAGCUUUAAUAACUCUUGGUCAAGCAAUUCCAUCUAAGGAAGUUUGGAUCUUGUUUGAACUGCAGGUAGCUUAAAGCUGCUGCAGCCAUCCUUGAAUUUAAUUUUGUUUUACCCUCUGAAGAUCAGUAAAACAGGGGUUUCCAUGCACUGGGUGCUAUGGGUUGGCAUGAAUCAAAAUAAUUUAGGAGCAGUACUGAGUGCUCUGAAAAGCAGAGGAAAACAAGGAAAGCAUUCUGGUGGAGCUGCCUGCACAAAUGUGUCUCUGGCACAGCAGACCUGAGGUCUUUAACUAGGCCUUCACUGCUGCUCUGGUACCAAAGCCAGUGUUUCUGCUGAUAGAACAUCCACAGCAGGACUUGCUGUGCAGGACUUUUCAGCACAGCCUUGCUCUGAGUCAGGUCUGAGCUGCAGAUGAUGGCAAGCACAAACCAACCACCAGCACCAGGGCUCCCCUUCCCUGCCACGUGGGAUUCCACCCACCAGCUGCACUUGGAAGAGGCUGGGGGGGUAGAGCAAACUAAAUUCUUUGUGCUUUCAUGAGUCAUGAAAAAACCCCUCCAACUGUCUCAACAGUGCAUAUGUUUGGGUGUUUUCAAGGAAGCUGGAAUGCAUCCUCAGAGCUCUUCCAUGAGAAAAAGUAAACAUGUCAUAUAUAAAACAUUUUAUUAAACAACAUUUUAUACAACACUUUAUAUACAAAAAUAAAAUGUACAUGAAAAAUAA